This 242-nucleotide long non-coding RNA is filed under the name Capsella grandiflora. Its description in RNAcentral is "long non-coding RNA (CGRA_LNC001427)". The record is from RNAcentral. Lineage: Eukaryota; Viridiplantae; Streptophyta; Magnoliopsida; Brassicales; Brassicaceae.
UUUGAUGUCUUUUUCACCAAGCAUUCAUUAAAAGAGAGGCUUUUGGCAGAGAUCUGACUUCAUAUGCUUUAUGCAGCACUCUGCGUGUGGAAUGCAAAGACUAGUGUUGGAGGGAACGGGACAGCAAUAGUGGAAAGCCACAAUAGAAAACCUGAACUCAAGACAACAACAGUGGAAAGCCACAAUAGAAAACCUGAACUCAACUCAACAACAAUUGAAAGCCACAAUGCAAAGCCUGAACU